This 253-nucleotide ribosomal RNA is filed under the name uncultured bacterium. RNAcentral's name for it is "partial 16S ribosomal RNA". It matches the Rfam family "Bacterial small subunit ribosomal RNA", at positions 524 to 776 of the family's 1533-position model. The record is from RNAcentral.
UACGAAGGGGGCUAGCGUUGCUCGGAAUGACUGGGCGUAAAGGGCGCGUAGGCGGUUUGUCCAGUCAGGUGUGAAAUUCCCGGGCUCAACCUGGGGGCUGCACUUGAUACGUAGGAACUGGAGUGGGGAAGAGGGUCGUGGAAUUCCCAGUGUAGAGGUGAAAUUCGUAGAUAUUGGGAAGAACACCGGUGGCGAAGGCGGCGACCUGGUCCGUGACUGACGCUGAGGCGCGAAAGCGUGGGGAGCAAACAGG